Long non-coding RNA from Marmota monax (woodchuck), 1979 nucleotides. RefSeq lists it as uncharacterized. The record is from RefSeq and is a predicted model, not a curated record. NCBI's taxonomy places the organism in Eukaryota, Metazoa, Chordata, Mammalia, Rodentia, Sciuridae. The transcript has 2 exons.
GAGCCAAGUAUAUGAUGCAUGGCAUUUUUGGUCGAAAGGUGACGCCAGCUAGCCAUUGAGAUGAUAUGAUUAUGUUAAGAUUUGCAUUCAUAUGGAUAUUGGACUCCUGCUGUUCACCUAGGCCGGCUACGGGACUCCUGGAGAGUUCCCAUUGGUUGGGGAAGUACAGUAGGAGGGAGUUCCGGGGGAGGAGCUCUCUCUGCGGGUCCGGGAGGAGGCCGCGUGGGUGGAAAAAAUCUUCCCGGGCGGUACCGGACAUUGGCGGCAGUUUCAAAAAAUAAACUUUGUUCCUGCUUGAGUGGCUCGUGAUUUUGUGCCCAGCCAGACUGCGGCAACUGGCGGCCUGCACGGGGAACGCCUGAAGCUUGGAGAGAGGGGGAGAUGUUGAGAGCCACAGCCAAAGGGGCCCCAGCAAACUUCCAGCUGCCAGCUGAUGAUUGGCUCACAGCGGCCCCAGCAACUUCUAGCUGCCAACUGAUUGGCUCCUCUGCGGUGAUGCUCAUUGGGCUGUUUCCCUGCCCUUUCAGACCACGGAGCUGCUCAUUGGGGAACUUUUUGGCUCCGCCCACACGACCCAGCCAAUCAGCCUCAAGAGCAGGAGGAGGGGGGAGGGGGAGAGGCUUGUGGGAAGCCGGUGGUGGCAGUUGGGCUCUGAAGGUUUUCCUGAGGAGCUUUUUUGUUUGGUGUGUGGUUCUAAAAAUAAAGUUUGUUUCUUUUGACAAGUGGCUCCUGAACCGUGCCCAGCCAGACUGCGGCAUUACUUAAACAGAGAGGGGGAGGGAUGUGGCUCAGAGGUUCAGUCCCCCUGACUUCAAUUCCCGGUCCAAAAAAAAGCAUAAUUGCAACCAUCUUCCUUUUCUCCACCCCCACUUUAUGAAUACUGUUCUUAUUCCCAAGAAAUAGAAAGUAAUACCAAAUAAAGCCUAGUGUCCUGGAGAUGCCGGUUCUUUCAUUGAGGGAUAGGAGACAAUUUACCAGACCCUGAGAUGAGGAUGUACUGGUUUUCCUGUUCUCUCCUAGAUAAAGGACAUGCUGGUUUCCCUAUUCCCCCUUUGAGAGAUAAGAAAAGUAUCUCUUUGUUCCCAAGAAACAAACUUGCCUCCCACAAGAUUAGGGGUUGCUUACUAUGUCAGUCAAGAUUAAACCCGCCGUAGCACCCAGCCAUGAUUCCAGCAUAUAAGAGGUAACAUUCAAGGGGGCUUUGCUCUCCUUUUUUUUUUUUUUUUUUUUUUAAUUGCAGAAUAGCCUGUCAGGCUCCUGAUAAUAAACCCGAUUUUUAUCCCGGAUGUGUGAGCGAUUAAUCCUAUGACACUUUUCUUUGAAGUUCAAAGCCAUCCUUUAAUAAUUUUCCUUGAUUUUAACCUGUUCCAGUCUGGGCUUGGAUGUGGUGACCGUUAAUCCAACUUGUAGAUUCUUGAGACUUUCCUGGUGAGAGUAAUGUGUAUGAUAAAGUAGGGUUGUGACAUUACCUUGGGCCUGAUCAAAUCGUGAUACAUGGGUCACAAGGUGAGGGGCUCAACCAAUAGCAACAAAGAAAUCUUUCACAUGAGUUUUAGACUGUUAAUAGGAGCUUUUUAAUUCAAUACUAACUGGCUAGAGCAGUUUCUGUUAAUCCUUCAGUGACAACUAAGGCUAAAACUGUGGCAACUGAGAGGUUAAAUUUGGCAGUGCCAAAGCAUUACAAUAAAUAGUCCAAUAUAGCACUCCAUGGAUCCGAAGCAGUGGGUGAUUCCUCAAGAUUUUGUUGUGUAUAGAUUAGUCACCUGAAAUUCUUCAGGGGGUCACUUUUGGAGACUAGUAAGAAGCUUCCUGUUUUAGUUUCCUUUACCAGUUGAUCACAUAUGGCUUCCCUUGGAAGCAUUAGGGACAUUUUCCUUUUUCAUUUACCAAUUUAUAAAACUACACAUGAUACUAAAAUAUAUCACGUGAUACUUAAAUAUAUAUUAUUUUAUGGAAUUAAAAAGUCAGAAGUACUUGAA